UAGGGAAUUUUUCACAAUGAGCGAAAGCUUGAUGGAGCAAUGCCGCGUGAACGAUGAAGGUCUUUAAGAUUGUAAAGUUCUUUUAUUUGGGAAGAAUGACUUUAGCAGGUAAUGGCUAGAGUUUGACUGUACCAUUUUGAAUAAGUGACGACUAACUAUGUGCCAGCAGUCGCGGUAAUACAUAGGUCGCAAGCGUUAUCCGGAUUUAUUGGGCGUAAAGCAAGCGCAGGCGGAUUGAAAAGUCUGGUGUUAAAGGCAGCUGCUUAACAGUUGUAUGCAUUGGAAACUAUUAAUCUAGAGUGUGGUAGGGAGUUUUGGAAUUUCAUGUGGAGCGGUGAAAUGCGUAGAUAUAUGAAGGAACACCAGUGGCGAAGGCGAAAACUUAGGCCAUUACUGACGCUUAGGCUUGAAAGUGUGGGGAGCAAAUAGGAUUAGAUACCCUAGUAGUCCACACCGUAACGAUAGAUACUAGCUGUCGGGGCGAUCCCCUCGGUAGUGAAGUUAACACAUUAAGUAUCUCGCCUGGGGUAGUACAUUCGCAAGAAU
This 546-nucleotide ribosomal RNA is filed under the name uncultured bacterium. RNAcentral's name for it is "bacterial SSU rRNA". It matches the Rfam family "Bacterial small subunit ribosomal RNA", at positions 355 to 895 of the family's 1533-position model. The record is from RNAcentral.